RNAcentral lists this unclassified non-coding RNA (5899 nucleotides) under Leishmania donovani. RNAcentral describes it as "gene:LdHU3.36.6790(CDS-product:Leucine_Rich_repea t_putative)". The record is from RNAcentral. Lineage: Eukaryota; Euglenozoa; Kinetoplastea; Trypanosomatida; Trypanosomatidae.
UGUGUCGCUCCGGUCUCCAAGCUGUUGCCCAGUACGUAAUUUUACGCUAUCACUCUGAGGUCUAGCGCUUGUGGGAGUGCAGACGUGUGCACCCCGCGGGGGCAAUAAAGUGAGCCCAUUCGAAAGGCCGCUCGCAUGUGGGUCUCUGUUGCCUGCGUUUACGGUGGCCCACAUCUUUUUUUCUUCAGCGACUCGAGUGCGACUGCCGUCUUGCGCGGCAGUCGACUUGGUGGGGCGAGUAGGAAGUGACGAGUUCUUUGCCUAAGUGGGCUGCAAGCGCGCUCUGACCAUCCCUGCGCUUUCUCGUCGCCCUACCUGGUUCUCGUUCCACUCCCUCAUUUUAUUUCACCAGUACAUAUUUAUAUAUAUAUAUACAUCUGUUGAGCUUGCUUGCUUGAUUGGCACUGUUGUUGCCGACGUGGGGGAGGAGUCCCACGUGGUAAGACUCACCAAAACGAGAAGCGUACAAGCGUACAGACAUUUACACACAAAGUGGCUCUUACUCCACCCCACCGCGUGUCUUUCGUAUGAGGUGAGGCGCCUCUCUUAGAUUUUCUCCUCUUUCUUUCCUUGUUGGUUCCCGUGCAAGUGUGUGUAUGAGGGGGGGGGGGAAGGUGGCACUGAAAUUAGCAGAGAUAUAGGCACGCGCAUUCCACACUGAUUAGCAGUUGUUUAUACAUCUAUAUAUAGAUUGUCUCCUCGCAUGUGCGUGCCUGCGUUGUCUGCGUGGGAUCAAGUCACAGUUUUGGCUUUUAGUGCAGUGGCGGGGAGCGCCCUCUCCCCACCCCUAUUUCCUCUCGCCCGUCAUUUUUUUUUUCGUGUUCAGUUGUGCGUUUCUGUUCUACAGCCCACUGCGUAACUCAUCUUGUCCUCUUCCUUGCCCUUUUUUUUAUUCCGGCUUUGCAGCUUUUUGUCAUAUUCCGCUGUCCCGCUUGCUCUCUCCCGUCCCCUUCUUCCUCCUUUCCCGUCGGCCAGCAUUCCGCAAAAACGGGACCCACUGUGUGUUUGUUUCUUCGCUCCUACUGCACACUCCCCCCUCCGCUCCCUGACUCUUUCCGUUGCAGUUGCCCUCGUGACACACAGCUCCACGUAACCCACUUGAGAAGAUACACCUUUCUCUCGGUCAAACGCAUAGAAUCAGCGUGUUCUUGCUCUCUUGCUUUUCGUUGUCGGGCUCCUCUCUCUUUUCUGUGCAGCUGUAGUCUUCAUACACACACACACACACAUACAGACCCCCCUCCACCGUAGGUCCUUCAGCGCACCUCUGCGCACCAGUGAGACGAGCAGAAAUCUGCACGAACAAGAAACAAAAAUACGCCAGUCCAAAGAAAACACUUGAAGUGGUACGAGGACACAUAACGAUCAUCGAAAUCCUCGCAAGCAACGAAAACGGAAACUUGGCCGCGGCAAUGGACUCAGAUCUGAGUAAAACCUUUGGGUCCGUGCGAUCAGCGCACGCAUACGAUCAACGUGUCAGCAGCACCCGCCAGGCGUCCUCCUCCUUCGUCAACAUAAAUCAGAAGCGAUCGUGGCGCCCCACAUCGUCGCUGUUCCAACCCAUUCUGGAUUACAUGAGCUCCGCCCCAUUUGCGCUGGCGGCCGCCAAUCCGUUUCUGCGCCUAUUCGUGGAGCGCAACGCGGAGGGCGGCGGCUUUUCAAUGCGUGACUACCAGGUCACCCCGAUCCUGCUGGGGCAGAGCAGAUGCGGGUGCGACAGCGCCGGCGGGGCAGACGCGCUCACUCGAGAAGGCAUCACCCCCAUAGUGAAUGGAGGUUUGUUUGGGGGCUGUGACGCGCUGGGCGACAGUCCAGCGGCUGCAUACAGCGGUGCCUGUCUGGGCACGAGCGGCUUGGUCGUCGAGGAGGACGGCGUUAUGGAAGCCUGGUGCGGCAAGCCAUGUGAUGACGAGAAAAUCCAUGACGACGACAGUGGGCCACGAUCCGGUGCGAGCGCUAGAGUGCCGCGUGUAAUUCCACUCUACAUCAGUGGCGUCGACGCACCGCAAGGUCUGAGUCCGCUGUCGAACCACUGCUACCCGUAUGUCGGCGUGAACCGCGUUGCUCCGUCCACGACGCAGGCCGUCAGCCUCUCACUCAAGUCGAGCUCUGCCGCUGCGGCUGACAUGCGCGACCGCAUGUGCCUUUGGGAGUGUGGGCGAAGCACGGCGCUCGAGAUGUCCCUCUGCGUGUGCAUCACCUGCAAGUCUGGCGCGGCCCUUCACCUUCUGACUCUUGGCGCGUGGUGGCUUUCGCGCUACUACGGCGUCUCGCUGCGACUUCACCACGUGCACCCGGCGCAGCUGGCGGCUUUUAAAGCUGCGCAACGCGCCCUCUCUCCGAAAGAAAUCCAAUUGGAGAACUGCGUCAUCUCCGAGGACCUGCUGCAGUGUAUAUCGACGUGCUCCGACCUCUUGUCGCUUUCCAUCAUCUCCUGCUCGGCGUCGCAGCAGGUGACGCUGCGGUGCAUCGAUUCCAUUUUGCGCAAGGGAAACGAGAUGCGGCCGGUUGACUUCUCUGAUGCACACGGUACGACGUUGAACGGUUACGCGAGUGGAGGGAUGGGCAGACACGACAUGCGCCAAGGUUUCCGCAGGUCACGCAAUAAUAAUAAUGGGCUCUCGGCAAACAACGCGCCAACCGACCCCGGCCGUGAAGUGACGAACUGGUACCUCUCCGGCGUCCGUUCUCUCGGCUCGUUGAAGCAGCUGCGCUGCCUGCACAUUCUUCACACCCCGCUGCACGAGACCUUUCUGCAGGCACUCACCACGUGCUCUUCUCUCGAGUGCAUCCUACUGCAUCGCUGCCGCGGUGUCCGCUCUCUGGAACCGUUACGGCGGCUGGAGCAUCUCCAGUCGCUGAGCCUUCACGGCCUCUCCGUCACGGACACGGACCUCCUGUCGCUCACCGGCUGCACGCAGCUGCGGCAGCUCGUGCUGGACGAGUGCCGGCAGAUCACGGACCUCAGCUUCCUCGCAAACCUUCGCGGCACGCUGGAGCGCCUGUUGAUGCCACGGACGUUACUGUCCAACGCCAACAUGCAGCACAUCGGGCUGUGUGACAAGCUUGUCGAGCUGCACCUGCAAUCACUCCGUCAGCUCACGGACAUUGGCGUGUUGAAGGAUCUGACAGCGCUUCGCGUGCUGAACCUGAGCGACAACCUCGUAACUGACGAGGGCUGCAGUGCGCUACACUGCAUGCCAAGCCUGCAGCGGCUUAACCUGGCAUCCUGUCGCUGCAUUACGUCUCUGGCGGUGGCUUUCACUGCGUCGGGGCGCUGCAUGCAUCGCCUUUUGUCGCUCGACGUGUCACACACAAACAUCAGCGAUGCUGGUGUGCUGUGUGUGCAGGAGUGCACUGAUUUGCGAUACCUAAACCUGUGUGGCUGCAGUGAGCUGAGGCGGCUGUCUUGGCUGCAGAAAAUGAGCUCGCUGCGGUGGCUGAACCUUGGUGGAACUCGCGUCACGGACGAGGAGACGAAGCGCUACCUGCCGUGCACGCGCAACCUGCGCUUCUUAAGCCUGAGCGGCUGCUCCAGUGUGCGGUCGCUCUUCUUUGCCGUCAAGCUGCCUCAGCUGGAGUACUUGAACCUCGAGUCGACAAGUGUGGCAGACAGUGAACUCGCGUGCCUGUGCCACUGUCGCAAGUUGCGCUACCUAUCUCUGGAGUCUUGUGUCGACAUCCGCGACGUGUCGCCGCUGUGCGCACUGCCGGCGCUCUUGGAACUCAACAUUUCGCUGACGGCUGUAGGUGCCUCGACUGGCGGCGCGCUGAGCACAACGUCUGGCGGCAGCGAUGGCCGGAGCACCCCGCACGGGUCGUCCACACUUAUUUCCUCGACAUCGAGCGCUGCGUCGGCAAGGUCUACCUCGCCACUGUCCUCAAUCAGCUCCGCGUCACCUGUGUCACCGAGCAUUGGCGCGAGCCGAUUCCCUGUCGUGCAGGUGCUGCACUUGAACGGAUGCAGUCGAAUGACUCGACUGGAAGAGCUGUCGAGGUGCUAUCCGCAACUGCGCGUGCUCUACGCCGAUCGCAUCUCUGUAAUGCCACCACGUGGUGUUGGUAUCGGCUUCACUGGGAUGGAUGAGCGCCGGCGUCUUGGCACGACGCCGCGGCAUCGGGGACUGCUGCAGCACACGCACAGCGUGGGCGUAAGCACUGACGAGCCAAAUAGCGAGGGUCCACCGGGUGCCAACAAGUCGGUGGCGCACAUUCAUCAAGCUCUGCAGCAGUACCUGCCGCAGCCACCGGCUGGACCGCGACCACGCACCCCGCACGCGGUAGCGUCCCGCCACCAUUCCUAUCACCGCGUGAGUUCGUGUGGAAACGAGCCACGGACAAGGAGCCGAACAGUGUCCCUGCGCUUUCCAGGUGAGGCGGCUCGCGUACUCCGGCUGGUGCUCCGACGCAGCUCUGUCACCGACGCGAUGCUGGAGCAGCUGUGUGUCACGUUUGCCUGCGUCUCCUGUCUUGACUUGACAAGGUGCACGGAGGUGCAGUGCCUCUCAGGCUUGGAGAACCUUUAUGCGCUCAGGGAGUUGACGCUGACACAGUCCUCCGUCGACAACGAUGGCGUGCGUGUCGUUAGCGCUUGCGAGACACUCGAAGUGCUGCGUCUCACCGAGUGUCGCGGUGUUUCGGACGUAAAUAGUCUCGGCGGCCUGCGCAAGUUGCGCGUGUUGUGUGUAGCGCGGACUCAGGUGACCAACCAAGGGCUGGAAGGCAUUGGACAGUGCCUCGCGCUGCAGUACCUAAAUUGUGCAGAGUGCCGCUAUUUGUCUGAUGUCAACGCGCUCAGCUCUCUGAAGCACCUGAUCGAGCUGCAUCUCGAGCGCACCGACGUCGUUGACGCUGGAAUUUGUGGAGUGAUGCGAUGCUCGGCGCUGCAGCGAGUCUACUUCACGCGGUGCCAGCGGCUCACCACAAUGGGCGAUGUUCGAACGCUUUGGCCACAGCUGGAGGUCCUUGACGUCUACGGCACAUCGAUCCCGACGCGUGUAGCUGGUCAAGGGCAGCAGUUUGCCUGCGCUGUCAUUUAGCGCAGACUGGAAGCGGCACUGUUUGCUGUUUCGCUAUCAUCAUUUUCUUCGCUCUCCGUAUGUGCAAAUGUGUGAAAGUGUAGUUGAGCCGGGCCGCUGACAUCUUUGUUGUCGUCGUCCAAGGGAGGGGGGCCGCCCUCCCUUUUCUUCCCACACUUUUCGCGGCCACGUUCCGUCCCCGACGGAAGGUCUGUAUGUGUGCGUGUGCAUGUGUGUUUGUCAUCGUUCGUGUGCCAAGCAUACACUUCUGCCGUUGUCUUGCUGUACGCACUCUUUCGGGAGUGGUGCUCCAACGGCAGUCGGAGGGAGGAAACCAACAGCAUCCGAAGGAAGGAAAGAAACAGAAAGAGAGGGGGAGGGCACCGGAAAGGGCUUAGCCCUUAUGUACGUGUGUGCACGGGCCUGCAGACAGCGACCUCCAGACACGCAUUUUACCAAGUGCCGCCAUGCGGGCAUGCACGCAAUGCUUAGAAUCCCACCACAGCACUUCGGGCGUUGUAAAAGUUGAACCUACGGGCCUCUUGUGUUCAAUGGUGGCGCCGUUGAUGGCGUUCCCAACGGCAUCCGCUUUUCGAGGACCGGCUGCCGCUUGAUCCAAAUGCAAACCUGUUCCUUUCACCAUCGCCACAAACGCCUCAUCCCAUCUCUCCUUCUCCGCAACCUUCUUUGUGCCCUCCCUCUACGUCACUGCGCAUUCGCACCAUUGCCGACAUUAUCCUUCCCCUCACGUUUCACUGCCCGUGCUUCAUUACAUGGGUUGUACCUCAACGGCUGUCAUAUUGGCCCCCACCUCCACGUCCAUGACUUCCUCUACAACAACGAACCUCUUCCUCCCCCUCCCCCUCACCUCUUGAAAAAAAAAG